AUAUACACUUAUCAACCACAACAUUAAAACCACCUGCAUAAUAUCGUGUAGGUGCCCUCGUGCUGCCAAAACAGCUCUGAUGCAUUGAGGCAUGGACUCCACAAGACCUCUGAACGUGUCCUGUGGUAUCUGGCAGCAAGACAUGAGCACCAAAACUUUAAGUCCUGCAGUUUGCAAGGUGGGUCCUCCAUGGAUGUUUUUUUUUUGUUCCAGCACAUCCCACAGAUGAUCUAGGGGAUUUGGAG
Non-coding RNA from Pelobates cultripes (western spadefoot toad), 245 nucleotides. NCBI's taxonomy places the organism in Eukaryota, Metazoa, Chordata, Amphibia, Anura, Pelobatidae. The record is from the annotation of a GenBank genome assembly.